AGAGUUUGAUCCUGGCUCAGAACGAACGCUGGCGGCGUGCUUAAUACAUGCAAGUCGUGCGUGAAAGAGGGGCAACCCUCGAGUAAAGCGGCAAACGGGUGAGUAACACGUAAGCAAUCUACCUUCAAGCUUGGGAUAACCCUGCCAACGCGGGGCUAAUACCGGAUGUGGUCUUACGAUCGCAUGGUUGUAAGAUCAAAGGUGACCUCUACAUGUAAGUUACCGCUUGAAGAUGAGCUUGCGUCCCAUUAGCUAGUUGGCGGGGUAACGGCCCACCAAGGCUGUGAUGGGUAGCCGGCCUGAGAGGGUGAACGGCCACAUUGGGACUGAGAUACGGCCCAGACUCCUUCGGGAGGCAGCAGUAGGGAAUUUUGCGCAAUGGACGAAAGUCUGACGCAGCAACGCCGCGUGAGUGAUGAAGGUCUUCGGAUUGUAAAGCUCUGUUGAAUGGGAAGAAAAGUUUUGGAGAUAACACCUCCGGAGCUUGACGGUACCGUUCGAGGAAGCCCCGGCUAACUACGUGCCAGCAGCCGCGGUAAUACGUAGGGGGCGAGCGUUGUUCGGAAUUACUGGGCGUAAAGGGAGCGUAGGCGGAACCGUAAGUUAGAAGUUUAAUUCCCGGGCUUAACCCGGGGCGGGCUUUUAAUACUGCGGUUCUUGAGUAUGGAAGAGGGAGAUGGAAUUCCAGGUGUAGCGGUGGAAUGCGUAGAUAUCUGGAAGAACACCAGCAGCGAAGGCGGUCUCCUGGUCCGAUACUGACGCUGAGGCUCGAAAGUUAGGGGAGCAAACAGGAUUAGAUACCCUGGUAGUCCUAACCGUAAACUAUGGAUACUAGAUGUUGGGGGAGUCAAUCUUCUCAGCGUCGUCGCUAACGCAUUAAGUAUCCCGCCUGGGAAGUACGCCCGCAAGGGUGAAACUCAAAGGAAUUGACGGGGGCCCGCACAAGCGGUGGAGCAUGUGCUUUAAUUCGAUGCAACGCGAAGAACCUUACCUGGCCUUGACAUGCAAGUAGUAGAACCCUGAAAGGGGGACGAGGUAGCAAUACCAGCUUGCACAGGUGCUGCAUGGCUGUCGUCAGCUCGUGUCGUGAGAUGUUGGGUUAAGUCCCGCAACGAGCGCAACCCCUGUGUCCUGUUGCCACCCCUUAAUUGGGAGCACUCUGGACAGACUGCCUCGCUUCAACGAGGAGGAAGGUGGGGAUGACGUCAAGUCAGUAUGGCCCUUACGGCCAGGGCUGCACACGUACUACAAUGCCCGGCACAAAGGGAAGCGAGACCGUCAGGUGGAGCAAAUCCCAGAAAACCGGGCCCAGUUCAGAUUGUCGUCUGCAACUCGACGGCAUGAAGCUGGAAUCGCUAGUAAUGGCGCAUCAGCUACGGCGCCGUGAAUACGUUCCCAGGCCUUGUACACACCGCCCGUCACAUCAUGAAAGCCGGUUGUACCCGAAGUCGCUCUUUAAACAGUGCCGAAGA
This 1472-nucleotide ribosomal RNA is filed under the name metagenome. Its description in RNAcentral is "bacterial SSU rRNA". It matches the Rfam family "Bacterial small subunit ribosomal RNA". The record is from RNAcentral.